CUGGAAUUUUCCGACCGAUAUAGUUGCCUUGAACCUCAGCGCUGCAUUGGAGCAAUAGACUCCGAUAAAUAUCAGACACGUGUCUCGCACGGUGUUACUCAAGAAUCACGAUUGACGUUAUCGGCACACAGCUGAUUACAUCUCAGUCUGGCUGUCUCGUCGUGACUAGGAAGUUGGUCCUGCACGAGCGAGUGCACGGACAUGUGACAUGUCGUCUGUCUUCUGCGACGCUUUGUGUUUGCGCGCUGUGGUACCGCUCCAGUGACAUGGCCAUAUCGCCAUCUGCUCAAAAAAGAAGAAGAAAAGGAAAGAAGGAAGAAAAGCAAUUUAUGUCCUGUUACUAUGGAACCUGUACGUACCCCCCGAAGCUCACGCGAUGUGGCAAACUUCAUUACCAUUGUUUGAGUUUGGUUUCAGGUUCUUUGCCUCACUUAAACGAAGCCGGCAACUGAUGACAGGGGUAAUCCGACCGGAAGCACCCAAACCACCGGCGGAAAUGCUGCCAUUUGGAGCAGUCAGACUUCCGGGCACCAUUCUGGAAACUCAUUCCGCUUUUCAAAGACGCUGCUUCUUGUAUUGUAAAGAAAACUAUCGAAGCAAAUCAUGUGUGCAGACGUAUUUUUCAAAGGAAGCAAUUCUAAAUGUGCCAGAUAUCUGUUGCACGCUGUCACUGUAGAAGAAUUACAAUCGUUG
Ornithodoros turicata is the source of this 693-nucleotide long non-coding RNA. RefSeq lists it as uncharacterized. The transcript has 4 exons. The record is from RefSeq and is a predicted model, not a curated record. NCBI's taxonomy places the organism in Eukaryota, Metazoa, Arthropoda, Arachnida, Ixodida, Argasidae.